CUUCUAUUUACAAUUUCAAUUUUCCAGAAAAAUUCUUGUGAAGAAAUUCAAAGAAAUGGCUUCUAAGACGCAAAUUUUGUCUCUGUACAAAUCGCUUUUGAGAGAAUCGGAGAAAUUUCCUAACUACAACUUCAGAUCGUACGCAAUUAGGAGAGUAAGGGAUGCCUUCAAAGAGAAGAAGACAAUCACAGAUCAGAAACAAGCGAAGAAGGAAAUUGAAUAUGCGAAAGAAAAUCUCGCAAUAAUUCAAAGACAGACCUCAAUCGGGAACAUGUUCAAAACAGAGAAACUCGUCAUAGAGAAUACGCGAUAAUCAAAAUGGCUUCCGAAAAUGACCUUCAACGACAUAAUAUAAGUUAUUGACUUGAAUACCUAGAACUACGAAAAUGGAGGUCCUUUGUUUAAAGUUGCACGAAUUUCUAUUAUUUCGGCGGAAUCAACAAGGAUAGCAAAUAGACAUACAAUAAGUGUGAGUGAGACAACAUCAUACAAUAAAUACAAUAGGACGAUUGGCAGCCGGGUGAACUUUCAGUCAGUUUGCCACUUUCAUCUUCAACGUGCGCACGCGCUUUUCUCUGUUCUGAGACUCUAUCCUGUUCAUUCUGUUGUAUUUGUUACCACUGUUGAGUUUGUUAAUAUUCCUCUUGAGUUUGUUAGUAUUUUUGUUGACUUUGUUAGUGUUAUUGUUGAAUUUGUUGUUGUUGUCUUGGCAAGAUCUUGGUGCCAGGCAAUGUUUUUUGUUGUGGUGUAAGCACUGUUCGUGGCCCGCGCCGAAGAUCUCGGCGUCCUAUACAGUCUUACUUGACAACUGAAGAUUAUAUUGCUAGGCACCCCAACAUCCUGAAUUAUGCUCGCCACUUAUUUGACGAUCGAGAGCUAAGUAAUCUUAUUUGAACAUUGCAAAAAUUAAAAAUCUCAGUAUGCAGUGUAUCUGGUAUCUAUAUUAUAGUCCUUGGUCAGUAUAAUACAUAAAAUGACAAUGUAUAAUUCGGCUCGUUUCUCAAUCGUGCUUUUCAUAAUCGAAAUGUCAUAUGAA
RNAcentral lists this unclassified non-coding RNA (1036 nucleotides) under Pectinophora gossypiella (pink bollworm). RNAcentral describes it as "lYR motif-containing protein 4-like". Lineage: Eukaryota; Metazoa; Arthropoda; Insecta; Lepidoptera; Gelechiidae. The record is from RNAcentral.